CCUUGGUCCAAAAAAAUGAAAAUUAGGUCAAGGUCAAAGGUCAAGGUCAUAUUUUAAUUUUUGAAUUAGGCUUAUUUCCACUCAUUUCCAGAAACCGUAUAAGAUAUCCACAAAUUAUUUUGACUAAAUUAUUAGUUGCGACAUGUCGUAACUUAAUAAUUUUAGUUGAAAGGGUGCGUAGACAAUGAAUGGGAGUUUUUGCCCCUAUCAUAUCUAAAAUUAUGUGUAAAGUGAUAUAACUUAUUAACCAUACAUAUUAGAGACCUAGGGUCUUUUGAUUUGAGAUUCUCAGUUUGUGACCUUGAAAUUGAGGUCAAGGUCAUAGGUUAAUUUAACGUUCUAGAUUUUGACCUUUUCUUUAAAUUCAUAUUUAUACAUCAUAAAGCCAUAUGAACUGACAUUUUAGACUGAUUUUUAAUAUUUUAAUAUCAAAAUAGAUAUAAACUGGUGGAAAGACCUUCAAUUGUUCUUUGAACAAUUGGUUUUUAAUUUUUUUUUCUUUUUCUUCCGCCUAAUUUUGUUCUUGCGAUAAAUAUUUGUUUCGCAAUAUGUCGCUUAGAUAUUUGGUAUAUGAUAUCGAACAGUUUAUGCGCUUUUGAAAUUUACCCUGCAUAACCAAAUACUUUUCUUUGUAGGAGUUAUCUCCCCAAACACUGUUUUUUUUGUGUCCACGACUCCUUCGCAACCGUAAAAGAUUACGACAAAUUUAUUUUAUAAAAUUGCUCGUUAUAUCCUUCGCAAGAUUUGUCCAAUUUCGACCGAAGCAAUAUGAACGCUCCAUAUGAGAGUCAUUUCCCCUUUUGUAUUUGAAAUUUUGAAAUGUAUUUUAAACUGGAACACC
This 841-nucleotide long non-coding RNA is filed under the name Mytilus galloprovincialis (Mediterranean mussel). The record is from RNAcentral. Lineage: Eukaryota; Metazoa; Mollusca; Bivalvia; Mytilida; Mytilidae.